GAUGAACGCUAGCUACAGGCUUAACACAUGCAAGUCGAGGGGUAACAAGAGGAAAGCUUGCUUUUCUUGUUGACGACCGGCGCACGGGUGAGUAACGCGUAUCCAACCUGCCUAUAACUAGGGAAUAACCUUGCGAAAGUAAGACUAAUACCCUAUGAUUUCCUUUGAUGACAUCAGAUUAGGUAUAAAGAUUUAUCGGUUAUAGAUGGAGAUGCGUCUGAUUAGCUUGUUGGCGGGGUAACGGCCCACCAAGGCAACGAUCAGUAGGGGUUCUGAGAGGAAGGUCCCCCACAUUGGAACUGAGACACGGUCCAAACUCCUACGGGAGGCAGCAGUGAGGAAUAUUGGUCAAUGGGCGGAAGCCUGAACCAGCCAAGUAGCGUGCAGGAUGACGGCCCUAUGGGUUGUAAACUGCUUUUAUACAGGAAUAAAGUUAGCCACGUGUGGUUAUUUGUAGGUACUGUAUGAAUAAGGACCGGCUAAUUCCGUGCCAGCAGCCGCCGUAA
This 506-nucleotide ribosomal RNA is filed under the name uncultured bacterium. RNAcentral describes it as "partial 16S ribosomal RNA". It matches the Rfam family "Bacterial small subunit ribosomal RNA", at positions 28 to 523 of the family's 1533-position model. The record is from RNAcentral.